This 492-nucleotide ribosomal RNA is filed under the name uncultured bacterium. RNAcentral describes it as "partial 16S ribosomal RNA". It matches the Rfam family "Bacterial small subunit ribosomal RNA", at positions 30 to 507 of the family's 1533-position model. The record is from RNAcentral.
AGUGAACGCUGGCGGUAGGCCUAACACAUGCAAGUCGAACGGCAGCACAGUAAGAGCUUGCUCUUACGGGUGGCGAGUGGCGGACGGGUGAGGAAUACAUCGGAAUCUACUUUUUCGUGGGGGAUAACGUAGGGAAACUUACGCUAAUACCUCAUACGACCUACGGGUUAAAGCAGGGGAUCUUCGGACCUUGCGCGAUUGAAUGAGCCGACGGCGGAUUAGCGAGUGGGCGGGGUAAAGGCCCACCAAGGCGACGAUCCGUAGCUGGUCCGAGAGGGGGAUAGGCAAUAGUGGGAAGGAGACAAGGCCCAGACUCCGAAGGGAGGAAGAAGUAGGGAAUAGUGGGGAAUGGAUGAAAGUAUGAACGAGCAACGCCGAGGGAGUGAAGAAGGCGUGCGGAGCGUAAAAAUCUGGUGGGAGAGAAGAACAAGGACGGAAGGAACUGAACGUGCCCUGACGGGAGCUAAUCAGAAAGCCAAGGCUAACUACGGG